GGCCGUAAUCAACAUCCCACACAGGGCAGCUUCACUCGGCAGUCAUUAGUUCCUGUGCUUACAAGGUGACUCCAGAGGGCCGAUUACCGGGGAGAGGAGACGGUUUAGGGAGGUGGAACCAUCAAAAACAUGAAUAAAAUGUCUGACAGGUUAUCCUUCUAACCAAAAGCAGCUAGGAAUGUGCUUGCCAUCUGGUUAAGAAGAAUCUCAAAAAAUACUGGUAGGAGGAGUUGCUAAAAGUGCUUCUAUGAAUAGUGUGAUGGCUGCACGUUGGAGAUGACACCAGUGCUUGCCUGCCUGUCUGGGAAGGGUGUGGUGAGGAUGAAAUAACACACCUGACGCACGUGGGGCAGAGCUCGACCCACCGCACGUGCCAUAUGCAGAGCUCGUUCUUGUCA
Bubalus bubalis (water buffalo) is the source of this 398-nucleotide long non-coding RNA. RefSeq lists it as uncharacterized. The record is from RefSeq and is a predicted model, not a curated record. NCBI's taxonomy places the organism in Eukaryota, Metazoa, Chordata, Mammalia, Artiodactyla, Bovidae. The transcript is spliced from 3 exons.